UAGGGAAUCUUCCACAAUGGGCGCAAGCCUGAUGGAGCAACACCGCGUGAGUGAGAAGGUUUCGGCUCGUAAAGCUCUGUUGUUAAAGAAGAACACGUAUGAGAGUAACUGUUCAUACGUUGACGGUAUUUAACCAGAAAGUCACGGCUAACUACGUGCCAG
This 162-nucleotide ribosomal RNA is filed under the name uncultured bacterium. RNAcentral's name for it is "partial 16S rRNA". It matches the Rfam family "Bacterial small subunit ribosomal RNA", at positions 355 to 511 of the family's 1533-position model. The record is from RNAcentral.